CAGCCAGUGGCGGAGUGGUCAAAUGCAUCUUCGUAUAAAGGAUACUAUCACUGGCUCGAAUCCUGUCUGGUUGG
This 74-nucleotide transfer RNA is filed under the name Operophtera brumata (winter moth). It matches the Rfam family "tRNA". Rfam says of the family: Transfer RNA (tRNA) molecules are approximately 80 nucleotides in length. Their secondary structure includes four short double-helical elements and three loops (D, anti-codon, and T loops). Lineage: Eukaryota; Metazoa; Arthropoda; Insecta; Lepidoptera; Geometridae. The record is from Rfam by way of RNAcentral.